GCCAGACUCCUACGGGAGGCAGCAGUGAGGAAUAUUGGUCAAUGGUCGGGAGACUGAACCAGCCAAGCCGCGUGAGGGAGGAAGGUACAGAGUAUCGUAAACCUCUUUUGUCAGGGAACAAAGGCGGGGACGUGUCCCCGGAUGAGUGUACCUGAAGAAAAAGCAUCGGCUAACUCCGUGCCAGCAGCCGCGGUAAUACGGAGGAUGCGAGCGUUAUCCGGAUUUAUUGGGUUUAAAGGGUGCGCAGGCGGAGGUGCAAGUCAGCGGUCAAAUUGCGGGGCUCAACCCCGUACUGCCGUUGAAACUGGUGAUCUUGAGUGGGCGAGAAGUAUGCGGAAUGCGUGGUGUAGCGGUGAAAUGCAUAGAUAUCACGCAGAACUCCGAUUGCGAAGGCAGCAUACCGGCGCCCGACUGACGCUGAGGCACGAAAGCGUGGGGAUCGAACAGGAUUAGAUACCCCCGUACGC
This 467-nucleotide ribosomal RNA is filed under the name uncultured bacterium. Its description in RNAcentral is "bacterial SSU rRNA". It matches the Rfam family "Bacterial small subunit ribosomal RNA", at positions 330 to 795 of the family's 1533-position model. The record is from RNAcentral.